RNAcentral lists this unclassified non-coding RNA (250 nucleotides) under Hevea brasiliensis (rubber tree). The record is from RNAcentral. Lineage: Eukaryota; Viridiplantae; Streptophyta; Magnoliopsida; Malpighiales; Euphorbiaceae.
GCCUAGUUUCUUCCUCUUUCUCCAACCAAGAGGACCAACCAACAGCCCCUUCUUCUCCAACCCUUGGGCCAUUGCCAUUCCAAAAGUGCUCAAACAAUCUCAGUUUACUAUGUUCACUUAGUAGUAAUGAAGGACAAAACAAACUAAAUUCAAUUUCAGCCUGAAAUAAAGCAGUGGCCAACUCCUGGUAUCCAGCCUGCCAUUCAAACCUACAAAGACUAAGAAAUACAUCAACCAGACCCAGUUCUAG